Molecule: ribosomal RNA, 353 nt
Filed under: uncultured bacterium
Lineage: Bacteria
Description: bacterial SSU rRNA
Rfam family: Bacterial small subunit ribosomal RNA
Source: RNAcentral
AGAGUUUGAUCCUGGCUCAGGAUGAACGCUAGCUACAGGCUUAACACAUGCAAGUCGAGGGGAAACGACAUCGAAAGCUUGCUUUUGAUGGGCGUCGACCGGCGCACGGGUGAGUAACGCGUAUCCAACCUGCCCACCACUUGGGGAUAACCUUGCGAAAGUAAGACUAAUACCCAAUGACGUCUCUAGAAGACAUCUGAAAGAGAUUAAAGAUUUAUCGGUGAUGGAUGGGGAUGCGUCUGAUUAGCUUGUUGGCGGGGUAACGGCCACCAAGGCGACGAUCAGGAGGGGUUCUGAGAGGAACGGUCCCCCACAUUGGAACUGAGCACGGUCCAAACUCCGUACGGNGGACA